UGUUUGAUUAGGGAGACGUGGACACUGUGCAUGCUGGGAGCUUCAGGACCAGGCUUGAGAAAAACUACACAACACUAACUGCAUAUCAGCCCUAGUUUCUGCAGUUAAUUCAGUUUCAAAAAGAUUUGAAUGUUUACACUAUCUGUUUGCAUUCAGCUCAGUGGCUCAGUUGAACACAUGUGAGAUGAAAUUUGCCAGAUUUCUGAAGGUGACCAUCCUGACCAUCUAACAUGCCGAGCAUCAGUCCCAUAAAGAGCGUAAUGAUGGCAAAAAUCACAUAAGAGCCCCAAGAAGGGAUACCGAGAGUAUUCAUCAGAAAAGGUUGUAUUUACAGAAGAGAGGAUGGCGACCUCCAUCCUGGCACCGGCUCAACCAUCGCCCACUUUUUC
Molecule: long non-coding RNA, 389 nt
Organism: Sinocyclocheilus grahami
Lineage: Eukaryota; Metazoa; Chordata; Actinopteri; Cypriniformes; Cyprinidae
Exons: 3
Source: RefSeq, a predicted model, not a curated record